CCUACGGGGGGCUGCAGUGGGGAAUAUUGCGCAAUGGGGGCAACCCUGACGCAGCCAUGCCGCGUGAAUGAAGAAGGCCUUCGGGUUGUAAAGUUCUUUCGGUGACGAGGAAGGCGUGGUGUUUAAUAGACAUCACGAUUGACGUUAAUCACAGAAGAAGCACCGGCUAACUCCGUGCCAGCAGCCGCGGUAAUACGGAGGGUGCGAGCGUUAAUCGGAAUAACUGGGCGUAAAGGGCACGCAGGCGGCUAUUUAAGUGAGGUGUGAAAUCCCCGGGCUUAACCUGGGAAUUGCAUUUCAGACUGGGUAGCUAGAGUACUUUAGGGAGGGGUAGAAUUCCACGUGUAGCGGUGAAAUGCGUAGAGAUGUGGAGGAAUACCGAAGGCGAAGGCAGCCCCUUGGGAAUGUACUGACGCUCAUGUGCGAAAGCGUGGGGAGCAAACAGGAUUAGAUACCCGUGUAGUC
This 465-nucleotide ribosomal RNA is filed under the name uncultured Aggregatibacter sp. RNAcentral describes it as "bacterial SSU rRNA". It matches the Rfam family "Bacterial small subunit ribosomal RNA", at positions 338 to 795 of the family's 1533-position model. The record is from RNAcentral. Lineage: Bacteria; Pseudomonadati; Pseudomonadota; Gammaproteobacteria; Pasteurellales; Pasteurellaceae.